CAGCAGCCGCGGUAAUACGGAGGGUGCAAGCGUUAAUCGGAAUUACUGGGCGUAAAGCGCACGCAGGCGGUCUGACAAGUCAGAUGUGAAAUCCCCGGGCUUAACCUGGGAACUGCAUUUGAAACUGUCAGGCUGGAGUCUUGUAGAGGGGGGUGGAAUUCCAGGUGUAGCGGUGAAAUGCGUAGAGAUCUGGAGGAAUACCGGUGGCGAAGGCGGCCCCCUGGACAAAGACUGACGCUCAGGUGCGAAAGCGUGGGGAGCAUACAGGAUUAGAUACCCCAGUAGUCCCUGUCUCUUAUAC
Molecule: ribosomal RNA, 301 nt
Filed under: uncultured bacterium
Lineage: Bacteria
Description: partial 16S ribosomal RNA
Rfam family: Bacterial small subunit ribosomal RNA
Source: RNAcentral